GACGAACGCUGGCGGCGUGCUUAACACAUGCAAGUCGAACGGAAAGGCCCUGCUUUUGUGGGGUGCUCGAGUGGCGAACGGGUGAGUAACACGUGAGUAACCUGCCCUUGACUUUGGGAUAACUUUAGGAAACUGGGGCUAAUACCGGAUAGGAGCUCCUGCUGCAUGGUGGGGGUUGGAAAGUUUCGGCGGUUGGGGAUGGACUCGCGGCUUAUCAGCUUGUUGGUGGGGUAGUGGCUUACCAAGGCUUUGACGGGUAGCCGGCCUGAGAGGGUGACCGGCCACAUUGGGACUGAGAUACGGCCCAGACUCCUACGGGAGGCAGAAGUGGGGAAUAUUGCACAAUGGGCGGAAGCCUGAGGCAGCAACGCCGCGUGCGGGAUGACGGCCUUCGGGUUGUAAACCGCUGUCGCCUGUGACGAAGCGUGAGUGACGGUAAUGGGUAAAGAAGCACCGGCUAACUACGUG
This 468-nucleotide ribosomal RNA is filed under the name uncultured bacterium. RNAcentral's name for it is "partial 16S ribosomal RNA". It matches the Rfam family "Bacterial small subunit ribosomal RNA", at positions 28 to 507 of the family's 1533-position model. The record is from RNAcentral.